AACCCUCGCUGUGUGUUAGUAUGUGUCACACAGGACUGCUGGAUUAAGCCGGAGGAAGGUGGGACGACGUCAAGUCAGCAUGACCUUAUAUCCAGGGCUACACACACGCUACAAUGGUCAGUACAAUGGGUUGCCAAGCCGCGAGGCGGAGCCAAUCCUAAAAAGCUGGCCUCAGUUCAGAUUGCAGUCUGAAACUCGACUGCAUGAAGUCGGAGUUGCUAGUAAACGCAGGUCAGCUAUACUGCGUUGAAUACGUUCCCGGGGCUU
This 267-nucleotide ribosomal RNA is filed under the name uncultured Anaerolineaceae bacterium. Its description in RNAcentral is "partial 16S ribosomal RNA". It matches the Rfam family "Bacterial small subunit ribosomal RNA", at positions 1100 to 1382 of the family's 1533-position model. The record is from RNAcentral. Lineage: Bacteria; Bacillati; Chloroflexota; Anaerolineae; Anaerolineales; Anaerolineaceae.